Quercus robur (English oak) is the source of this 97-nucleotide small nucleolar RNA. RefSeq annotates it as small nucleolar RNA snoR1. NCBI's taxonomy places the organism in Eukaryota, Viridiplantae, Streptophyta, Magnoliopsida, Fagales, Fagaceae. The transcript has a single exon. The record is from RefSeq and is a predicted model, not a curated record.
GGCAAAGAUGAUGAUUGCAUGAGUUCUGACACCUCUUGUAUGAGAUGAGCUUAUUCAAUAAGCUCUUCCUUGAGCAGAGACAGCAACAUUCUGAGCC